Pseudorhodoferax sp. Leaf274 is the source of this 74-nucleotide transfer RNA. It matches the Rfam family "tRNA". From Rfam's summary of the family: Transfer RNA (tRNA) molecules are approximately 80 nucleotides in length. Their secondary structure includes four short double-helical elements and three loops (D, anti-codon, and T loops). Lineage: Bacteria; Pseudomonadati; Pseudomonadota; Betaproteobacteria; Burkholderiales; Comamonadaceae. The record is from Rfam.
CGGAGCGUAGCGCAGUCUGGUAGCGCAUCUGGUUUGGGACCAGAGGGUCGAAGGUUCGAAUCCUUUCGCUCCGA